AUGGGGUCGGUUCCGGUCCCGGUGUCGCUGAUCCCGGUUCUGGUCUCAGUUGGCCUUUAUGUUCUACCUGCUGACCUACGUCGGGGCCGUGUUCAAUGGGGUGACGCUGCUCGGAGUGGGUGUGAUCUGCGCCUUCACCUUCCCUGUGCUCUAUCGGCACUACAAGGUACGGCUAUGGGGUCAGUGGGGUCUAUGGGGUCUAUAGGGUUAAUGGGGUCAAUGGGGUUAAUGGGGUCUAUAGGGUUAAUGGGGUCAAUGGGGUUAAUGGGGUCAGUGGGGUCUAUGGGGUCAAUGGGGUUAAUGGGGUCUAUGGGGUUAAUGGGGUCUAUGGGGUUAAUGGGGUCUAUGGGGUUAAUGGGGUCAAUGGGGUUAAUGGGGUCAGUGGGGUCUAUGGGGUCAAUGGGGUCUAUGGGGUCAAUGGGGUUAAUUGACCCCAUUGCCCCCAUUGCCCCCAUUAACCCCAUUCACCCCAUUGACCCCAUUGACCCCAUUAUCCCCCCCCAGACUCAGAUCGAUCACUACAUGAAUAUGGGGAGGAGCCACCUGAGGCAGCUCCGUGCCAGGUAAGGGGUCUUUAAGCCCCCCCCCCUUUAUGGGGUCCCCCCCCCCAUUGAUUCGGGGUCCGCCCUAUGGGCUUAUAUCCCCCCCCCCCAUUGACCCCAUUACCCCCAUUCACCCCAUUGACCCCAUUACCCCCAUUGACCCCAUUGCCCCCAUUACCCCAUUACCCCAUUGCCCACAUUACCCCCAUUGCCCCCAUUAUCCCCAUUGUCCCCAUUGACCUCAUUAUCCCAUUACCCCCAUUGCCCCCAUUACUUCCAUUGACCCCAUUGACCCCACUGACCCUAUUACCCCCAUUACCCCCAUUGACCCCAUUACCCCCAUANNNNNNNNNNNNNNNNNNNNNNNNNGGGGGGGUAAUGGGGAUGGGGGGGUCCAUUGGGGACAGUGGGGGACAAUAGGUGACAAUGGGUGACAGUGGGUCCCAAUGGGUGCUGAUGGGUCCCAAUGGGUCCUGAUGGGUCCCAAUUGGUGCCAAUGAGUAUCAAUGGGUCCCAAUGGGUAUCAAUGGCUCCCACUGGGUAUCAAUGGGUCCCAAUGGGUUCCAGUGGGUCCCAAUGGGUGCCAAUGGGUUCUAAUGGGUACCAAUGGGUCCUGAUGGGUCCCAAUGCGUGCCAAUGGGUAUCAGUGGGUCCCAAUGGGCACCAAUGGGUACUAAUGGGUCCCAAUGGGUCCCAGUGGGUAUCAGUGGGUCCCAAUGAGUCUUGAUGGGUCCCAGUGGGUACCUAUGGGCACCAAUGGGUAUCAAUGGGUCCCAAUGGGUAUCAAUGGGUCCUAAUGGGUAUCAGUGGGUCCCAAUGGGUCCCAGUGGGUCCCAGUGGGUCUCAAUGGGUCCCAAUGGGUCCCAAUGGGCACCAAUGGGUACUAAUGGGUCCCAAUGGGUAUCAGUGGGUCCCAGUGGGUAUCAGUGGGUCCCAAUGGGUCCCAAUGGGCACCAAUGGGUACUAAUGGGUCCCAGUGGGUAUCAGUGGGUCCCAAUGUGUUCCGCCGUGUGCCCCAUAGGUGC
This 1567-nucleotide long non-coding RNA is filed under the name Coturnix japonica (Japanese quail). Its description in RNAcentral is "lncRNA (ENSCJPG00005000354.1)". Lineage: Eukaryota; Metazoa; Chordata; Aves; Galliformes; Phasianidae. The record is from RNAcentral.